UUUAAUUGGACUCAACGCCGGACAUCUCACCAGCAUCGACUGUAAUAAUGACGAUCAGGUUGAUGACCUUAUCCGAGUUUCAGAGAGGAGGUGCAUGGCCGCCGUCAGCUCGUACCGUGAGGCGUCUGUUAAGUCAGGCAACGAACGCAGACCCGCAUCCUUACUUGCCAGCAGCACUGCGAAGUGGCUGGGGACAGUAGGGAGACCGCCGUGGCCAACACGGAGGAAGGAACGGGCAACGGUAGGUCAGUAUGCCCCGAAUGUGCUGGGCAACACGCGGGCUACAAUGGUCGAGACAAAGGGUUCCUACUCCGAAAGGAGACCGUAAUCUCAGAAACUCGAUCGUAGUUCGGAUUGUGGGCUGCAACUCGCCCACAUGAAGCUGGAUUCCGUAGUAAUCGCGUGUCGUAAGCGCGCGGUGAAUACGUCCCUGCUCCUUGCACACACCGCC
This 451-nucleotide ribosomal RNA is filed under the name mixed culture haloarchaeon CLI-265. Its description in RNAcentral is "bacterial SSU rRNA". It matches the Rfam family "Archaeal small subunit ribosomal RNA", at positions 901 to 1350 of the family's 1478-position model. Lineage: Archaea; Methanobacteriati; Methanobacteriota; Halobacteria; Halobacteriales; Halobacteriaceae. The record is from RNAcentral.